UGAAAUGACAGGUUGUGCGGGCAAUCUUCGGAUUGGCCGUUGUCCUUGGCGGUCUGCUACCCCGUGCAAUCUGUCUCCACC
RNAcentral lists this non-coding RNA (81 nucleotides) under Candidatus Kentrum sp. FW. Lineage: Bacteria; Pseudomonadati; Pseudomonadota; Gammaproteobacteria. The record is from RNAcentral.